UGACCCAAGUCUUCCCCUCUUCGUUCUCUUUCCUUGUCGGUUCCUGUUUUGACGAAAAGUCAUGGAAAUUAUUAAGUAACCUAAAAUACUGUUUUUUUUUUUUAAUUUCCCUCCAUUUUCCAAUCAUAUGAAUGAAGCAGUAAUCGCUUGUAAUUUGCUGCUGUGGAGCUUGACGAGUUUUCGUGUUAUAUUCUUUUGUAUACUGUUUGCUAACUCGUGGCGAUUUUGUUUGGCUUAAUGGCGUGUUGGUGCAAUAGGAGAAGCUGAUGGAGGAGACCCAUAGCAUGGAGUGUAGCAUGGAGUGUAGCAUGGAGUGUAGCAUGGUUCUUGGUAUAAGACAGAAUUCUGUUUUCUAAUGACUGUUACUUCAGGUAUGAGGCCAGCUUGCCCACAUGCAAAGAUGAUUCAUACAACAUAAUUUAUUCAUUUUUCUAUUUAUUUCUGAGACUCAUUAGAAAGCAGAUCAAUCUAAGUCAAUGAAGUUCAAUAUUAUGCUCUGGAAGUUGACUUUACUAAAGAUUCCUUUAAUAAAAUAUUUUAGGAUAUAAAACAGGGAACUGAAAAGAAAAAGGCAAGAAAUUGGGGCAUUCCGAGAAUCGAACUCGGGACCUCUCGCACCCAAAGCGAGAAUCAUACCACUAGACCAAAUGCCCAAUUUUGGAUAUCCAUCAUGUCUGGUAUAUAGUUAGUAGAUCUUUUCUCUUAGAAAUUCUAUUACUUUCCAAUGGACUCAUUCUAGGAAGACUAAAGUUUCUCAAUCUCUCACUUUUGAUGUGGUUCAAUACUUCAAUGUAUCAUUGGCCUGCUACAAUUGAAUGCUAAGGGCUUUUGAAAUUGCAUUAGUACCAGAUUAUAGCGUUUAUCUAUAUUUUAAUCCCAGCAUAUAGUUAUUAAUUCGAAAUAUGGAUCCCCUAGAGGCCAUAACAUCUAUAGGUUAUGAAUCUCCCAAAUUUUAUAAAUAUCUUUUAACCACGAAGUGUCUGACUUUUUAAUCAAUAGUUUCAUAGUUAUUGUACUGAGAAAUUAGAUUUUUUGAUUCGCACGAAAGUAAUUUAAAAAAAUGAAAUUACAGAACAACUAGUCAGCUAGUAGAUACCUAAUCACUACUUAAUGUCCUAAUAAACUUUUCAACCUGGGUCUUUGGACUUAAUUUAAAUGGCAAUGUUGUUUAGUUAUGCAUAAGGUUGUAGGUCUGAAUCACGCCUUUCAGCAAAGGUUGAGGGGUUGGGGCAAGGUGGGAGCUAGCUGCGUAGACCAUCUAGUAUAGCCUAGUAGUUGAUUCAGGAAAAUGAAAUAAAGCAGUCUUUGCGGACAGAGACGAUGGGAACUCACUCAGAAAAGUGGAAAACUACUUUGCCUUUCAGUUCUAUGUUUUUUGCUGAAAUUUAAAUAGGCACUCCAGUAAAUGAUUUGAACCUGCUCUUCAACGUGCAUGGUUAUUCUGUUUAUUUGUGCCCUUUGUUAGUCAAAUUACCCUUUUGUGGAUGCCUAUAAUAAGAUUGAAGGUACAAACACUAAACUUCCGGAAAUGGCAACAAUCUAUUUUUUUUUUACUCACUGCAAAAGAAUCUUGUCAGGAAACAAAUAUAUCUGUUGUUUGACUUUUAGAGUUGACUUUCCGGUUGAUUCUCUGAUUAUAUAUUUGAAAUUAGGGGGAAAAAGGAAAAAUGGGCUGGGGCAUUCCGAGAAUCGAACUCGGGACCUCUCGCACCCAAAGCGAGAAUCAUACCACUAGACCAAAUGCCCUAUCUUGUAUGUUUAGCUGAAUCUGUUUUAGUUAUUAGCUCUUUUCUUCAAGAUUGGGUUAAGUUUUGAUGUUUGUCUGCUGACUUGUUAGCAAAUUGUUCUGCUAUGUGACUUUUACCUCGGUACUCUAACAAAUGGUUGAAGGAUGAGCUUAUUGGACGAUUGGGCAGCUAUCAACUAAUUAUUAAAUUUUGCAUCUUGAUAACCUUUUUCGUUGUUGGACUUUGUAAACUGAACAGCAAACUCUUUUACUGAUAGAAUACGUGGAGGUGCUAUCUACUUUGGCUGCUACUGUCAUUUGGUUAGGCAAGAUUACUGAAGCCUUUCUGUUUGGAUGAGGAUGAUGACUACUAUAGCUCUAAAAUCAAUCUGUAAUUUUGUUGACCUUGGUGGGAAUCCUGUUUUAACCUUUGGUUAAAGGCAUAAUGGUGUCAAAGGAGAGGCUAAUGGAUGAGGCCCAUAGCACGGACUAUAGCUUGGUUCCUGUUAAUGACGGAUGGACUUGCUUCUUACUCAGAGCAAUGAAGAGGCAUAUUUUUUUUCUGUUGGCCUUUCCACUUUCCAUCCUUUUUGAUGCUAAACUGGUUAUUGUUGAUUAAUUGCUUUAUUCCAUUAUUUUCACAGGGCUAUGCAGAA
Molecule: long non-coding RNA, 2382 nt
Organism: Gossypium arboreum
Lineage: Eukaryota; Viridiplantae; Streptophyta; Magnoliopsida; Malvales; Malvaceae
Exons: 4
Source: RefSeq, a predicted model, not a curated record